UUAAAUUACUUUGCUGCUACCUUGACGUGGUGGUCGGGCUUGCCUAUCGUGAUGAACCAAUCGAGCUAUACUGGCUGGAACAAUCGUUCCUCAAGGUCCUACCAUGCCAGGCGGUAAGACUAAAAGCAGC
Molecule: non-coding RNA, 130 nt
Filed under: Schistosoma mansoni
Lineage: Eukaryota; Metazoa; Platyhelminthes; Trematoda; Strigeidida; Schistosomatidae
Source: RNAcentral